AAUAUUGGACAAUGGGGGCAACCCUGAUCCAGCCAUGCCGCGUGUGUGAAGAAGGUCUUCGGAUUGUAAAGCACUUUAAGUUGGGAGGAAGGGCUUUAGGCUAAUACCCUGAAGAUGUGACGUUACCAACAGAAUAAGCACAGGCUAACUCUGUGCCAGCAGCCGCGGUAAUAACGAGGGGGCAAGCGGUAAUAGGAAUUACUGGGCGUAAAGCGGGGGUAGGUGGUUCAGUAAGAUGGGUGUGAAAACCCCGGGCUUAACCUGGGAACUGCUUUCAUAACUGCUGAGCUAGAGUACGGUAGAGGGUAGUGGAAUUUCCUGUGUAGCGGUGAAAUGCGUAGAUAUAGGAAGGAACACCAGUGGCGAAGGCGACUACCUGGACUGAUACUGACACUGAGGUGCGAAAGCGUGGGGAGCAAAC
RNAcentral lists this ribosomal RNA (421 nucleotides) under uncultured bacterium. RNAcentral's name for it is "partial 16S ribosomal RNA". It matches the Rfam family "Bacterial small subunit ribosomal RNA", at positions 360 to 773 of the family's 1533-position model. The record is from RNAcentral.